RNAcentral lists this ribosomal RNA (242 nucleotides) under uncultured Bacteroidota bacterium. Its description in RNAcentral is "uncultured Bacteroidetes bacterium partial 16S ribosomal RNA". It matches the Rfam family "Bacterial small subunit ribosomal RNA", at positions 796 to 1041 of the family's 1533-position model. Lineage: Bacteria; Pseudomonadati; Bacteroidota. The record is from RNAcentral.
CACGCCGUAAACGAUGAUCACUCGAUGUGUGCGAUAUACUGUACGCGUCUGAGCGAAAGCAUUAAGUGAUCCACCUGGGGAGUACGUUCGCAAGGAUGAAACUCAAAGGAAUUGACGGGGGCCCGCACAAGCGGAGGAGCAUGUGGUUUAAUUCGAUGAUACGCGAGGAACCUUACCUGGGCUUAAAUGGGAAAAGACAGCCGCCGAAAGGUGGUCUUCCGCAAGGACUUUUUUCAAGGUGC